This 457-nucleotide ribosomal RNA is filed under the name uncultured bacterium. Its description in RNAcentral is "bacterial SSU rRNA". It matches the Rfam family "Bacterial small subunit ribosomal RNA", at positions 1 to 507 of the family's 1533-position model. The record is from RNAcentral.
AGUUUGAUCCGUGGCCUCGAAGAACGAACGCUGGCGGCAUGCCUAACACAUGCAAGUCGAACGAGACCUUCGGGUCUAGUGGCGCACGGGUGCGUAACGCGUGGGAAUCUGCCCUUGGGUUCGGAAUAACAGUUAGAAAUGACUGCUAAUACCGGAUAAUGUCUUCGGACCAAAGAUUUAUCGCCCAGGGAUGAGCCCGCGUAGGAUUAGCUAGUUGGUGAGGUAAAAGGGCUCACCAAGGCGACGAUCCUUAGCUGGUCUGAGAGGAUGAUCAGCCACACUGGGACUGAGACACGGCCCAGACUCCUACGGGAGGCAGCAGUGGGGAAUAUUGGACAAUGGGCGAAAGCCUGAUCCAGCAAUGCCGCGUGAGUGAUGAAGGCCUUAGGGUUGUAAAGCUCUUUUACCCGGGAUGAUAAUGACAGUACCGGGAGAAUAAGCCCCGGCUAACUCCGUG